CCUACGGGUGGCAGCAGUGGGGAAUAUUGGGCAAUGGAGGCAACUCUGACCCAGCAAUGCCGCGUGAGUGAUGAAGGUAAAGUUAUUGUUAAGCUCUUUUCUUCGGAACGAAUAAAUGACGGUACCUAAGGAAUAAGCUCCGGCUAACUACGUGCCAGCAGCCGCGGUAAUACGUAGGGGGCAAGCGUUGUUCGGAAUGACUGGGCGUAAAGGGUGUGUAGGGGGUUUGAUAAGUUAGAUGUGUAAUACCCAGGGCUUAACUCGGGUGCUGGAUCGAAAACUGUGAGACUUGAGUACUGGAGAGGAAAGUGGAAUGCCCAGUGGAGCGGUGGAAUGCGUAGAUAUUAGGAAGAACAUCAGUGGCGAAGGCGACAAUCUGG
RNAcentral lists this ribosomal RNA (380 nucleotides) under uncultured bacterium. Its description in RNAcentral is "partial 16S ribosomal RNA". It matches the Rfam family "Bacterial small subunit ribosomal RNA", at positions 338 to 732 of the family's 1533-position model. The record is from RNAcentral.